Non-coding RNA from Python bivittatus (Burmese python), 259 nucleotides. The record is from RefSeq and is a predicted model, not a curated record. NCBI's taxonomy places the organism in Eukaryota, Metazoa, Chordata, Lepidosauria, Squamata, Pythonidae.
GCUCUGGUUCCUGAUCAGUGAGGUUCCAGUCUUCAAAGCAGUUCCUGAUGUUCUCCUCGAAAAUGCCUUUCCAAGUCAGUGGAAAUUUGGCCAUGCUCAGCAUGGAGACUGGAAAGCGCCUGCUCAAAGUUUGCAGAAUGAAUCCGUCUAACCUGACAGCUUCUGAUUCCUGGCUCACCAGAAGAUUACAACAGGACUCUUGCAUUCUUUGGGGAUAUUUUGUACUUCAGGACAAGUGCUGAGCCAAUAUUUUUCAUCC